Molecule: ribosomal RNA, 460 nt
Filed under: uncultured bacterium
Lineage: Bacteria
Description: partial 16S ribosomal RNA
Rfam family: Bacterial small subunit ribosomal RNA
Source: RNAcentral
CCUACGGGUGGCAGCAGUAAGGAAUAUUGGUCAAUGGGCGCUAGCCUGAACCAGCCAAGUAGCGUGAAGGAUGACUGCCCUAUGGGUUGUAAACUUCUUUUAUAUGGGAAUAAAGUGCAGUAUGUAUACUGCUUUGCAUGUACCUUAUGAAUAAGGAUCGGCUAACUCCGUGCCAGCAGCCGCGGUAAUACGGAGGAUCCGAGCGUAAUCCGGAUGGAUUGGGUUGAAAGUGAGCGUAGGCGGGUUGUUAAGUCAGUUGUGAAAGUUUGCGGCUCAACCGUAAAAUUGCAGUUGAUACUGGCAUCCUUGAGUACAGUAGAGGUAGGCGGAAUUCGUGGUGUAGCGGUGAAAUGCUUAGAGAUCACGAAGAACGCCGGUUGCGAAGGCAGCCUGCUGGACUGUAACUGACGCUGAUGCGCGAAAGUGUGGGGAUCAAACAGGAUUAGAUACCCUUGUAGUC